GAUCCUGGCUCAGGAUAAACGCUGGCGGCGCACAUAAGACAUGCAAGUCGAACGGAAGUCGUUAUAAAAGGAGAGAAGAUUUGUCGGAUUGAAUUUUAUAACAAUGGCUUUAGUGGCGGACUGGUGAGUAACGCGUAAGGAACCUACCUAUUAGAGGGGAACAACAAUGAGAAAUCAUUGCUAAUACCGCAUAUGCCAUAACUACCGCAUGGUAGAAGUGGGAAAGGAGUAAUCCACUGAUAGAUGG
This 247-nucleotide ribosomal RNA is filed under the name uncultured bacterium. RNAcentral describes it as "partial 16S ribosomal RNA". It matches the Rfam family "Bacterial small subunit ribosomal RNA", at positions 15 to 228 of the family's 1533-position model. The record is from RNAcentral.